RNAcentral lists this ribosomal RNA (253 nucleotides) under uncultured bacterium. RNAcentral's name for it is "partial 16S ribosomal RNA". It matches the Rfam family "Bacterial small subunit ribosomal RNA", at positions 524 to 776 of the family's 1533-position model. The record is from RNAcentral.
UACGUAGGGUGCGAGCGUUGUCCGGAAUUACUGGGCGUAAAGAGCUCGUAGGUGGUUUGUCGCGUUGUCCGUGAAAACUCACAACUCAAUUGUGGGCGUGCGGGUGAUACGGGCAGACUGGAGUACUGCAGGGGAGACUGGAAUUCCUGGUGUAGCGGUGGAAUGCGCGGAUAUCAGGAGGAACACCGGUGGCGAAGGCGGGUCUCUGGGCAGUAACUGACGCUGAGGAGCGAAAGCGUGGGGAGCGAACAGG